CUCUCAAGAGCUCAAUGGAGUCCCGUUUCAAGGUAAGUUGUGCGGAGAGGUACACUCAACACUGGCGGCGAAGGGAAAUGCAAGAAGCAAAAAGAAAUGUGGAGACAGCAACGUGGGAGGGUUGGAACUGUACUAUCAGAGUUUGCGAUAUGGCACAAUCUCCUUUCCUCUUAAAUCUUUCAGCUUCAGAUAGAUUCAUUUCCUUUGCCAUCACUGCUGCAUCUAUGGCAUAUUUCUUUAUAACAUUAAACUCUGUCCGAGGCACAUGCCUUUUUGAAAGGAAUUCCUUUACCUAUUUACAACUAGUCGACAUCUUUGAGAAUGCCGGAAAAAGAAGACACAGGUAAGAGUUAGAGACUGCAAAAUGGUGGGGUGUCAUGGAGGGGAAUGGGGCAGAUGAUAAAAUGACUUGGAAGUGAGGAAUACAGUAAAUCGGUGUUCUUUGAGAGUGUCCUUGAGUGUUGAUAAAUGAUUAAUGGUGAAUAAAAGACCUGUUUAUCUCCCGUGUAGCCUGUAUAAUAAUAUAUGAGUUCUAUUACUUUGCAUGACAAUAACUGGGGGUUGAGAAAGAAGGCUUGAAUCUAUGCUAUCUUAUAAUUAGCAUGUAUAAAAUCAUGCCUUAACCUCUAACAGAGUCUUAAUUUCAACUUAAAACUAUUCUCUAGACCUGGGUGAAACUCAAAGCAAGAAGAAAGAAAAACAGUUUGAUGAAAUGGAGUCAAGGGGGAAAAGACAGAAAGAGUAGAUGUAUGAAUAACAGAAGAUUGGGUUUGUAGUCUGCCUUCAAUCUCUUCCCCCUCAUCCCCAGCUUCAUACAGAGAAAUAAACUUUAAAUGAAUACAAUUUGGGGAAAGUAUAAUACUGUUUGAUUUAAUCAGACUUACCUAUGAAGUGAAUUGUCUUUCUUUCUUGUUACCACACUCUUAAAUUAAUACUGAAUUAGUUGCGUAUGCUCAUAUAAUUUCAGUAUGUUGAAGUAAAUCUUUACCAUUACAAUUAUAUAAGUGCCUUCUAACUAGGUGGAAAUUAAUACUUUGUUUUAUUGUUUGGUACAUGUUUAUAUCCACAAGAAAUAUUUGUAGAUAACUGCGGUAUAUUUUCCAAAAUGAUAAGGACAGGUGUGGAAAGCUGGUAGUGAUACGGAGUAAUAAAAAUCUAGCAUGUGUAUUAUGUAAAAAAACUACAUAGAAAAUAGUAAACUUGUUCAUUCAAAUGCAAAUUGAUAAAUUCUGUAGAUUCAGUAUUUAUGGGUUUUUUCCAGCUUGGGCAGAGGGACAAAAUAUUAUUCAAAGUAUUGUCAUCCCUAACAUGUUGUCUUUUUAUGUAGGUAACAUGGACUUAAAUUAUUUUUAAAAAAUGAAAGUAUCUUAAAAUGCUGUUUUACUUCCUCAUUUAAACAGAUGUUUUUACAUUUCAAAACUUUUAAUUGGAUAGAGGUAUCAUAAGCAACAUGUACUUUUUCAACUUUUAAAAAUAAAAAAAUAUUGAUUACAGCCACUUUAAAACAAAAGUUAUAUCUGGAUGUAGAUUUCACUUUGAAAUUCAUGUGUCAUAGCUUGAAACAUUAACAAAUACAUACUAUCCUGUGAUUAAUUAAUGAAGGCUGUGUGCAAAUAUCUCAUUUUAGAAUAAGCAAAAAAUACAGUCAACCCCUCUUCACUCAUGGUUAGGUAAAAGAAUUAUCCGUAACAUCUGAACUGGCACUAGAUAAGCACUUAAAAGACAUUUGAGUAUGAUUAAGUCAUAUGAACUCUGAUAUAUCU
Aotus nancymaae (Ma's night monkey) is the source of this 1763-nucleotide long non-coding RNA. The record is from Ensembl. NCBI's taxonomy places the organism in Eukaryota, Metazoa, Chordata, Mammalia, Primates, Aotidae.